GGGCACAUGGUGUAGUUGGUUUAUCACGCCCGCUUAGCAUUCGUGCUGUCUCUUUAUUCCUGCGGGAGGUGUUGGGUUCAAUUCCCAAUGUGUCCA
Molecule: non-coding RNA, 96 nt
Organism: Guyanagaster necrorhizus
Lineage: Eukaryota; Fungi; Basidiomycota; Agaricomycetes; Agaricales; Physalacriaceae
Source: the annotation of a RefSeq genome assembly